Molecule: long non-coding RNA, 1074 nt
Filed under: Brassica napus (rape)
Lineage: Eukaryota; Viridiplantae; Streptophyta; Magnoliopsida; Brassicales; Brassicaceae
Description: long non-coding RNA (BNAP_LNC024973)
Source: RNAcentral
ACUAGAAAUGUUGUGUAAAAAAAAGAAAUAGUUUGUUGGGCAAAUCUCCAAAAUAGCACCUUUCUAAGUUUAUAUCACAAAAAUAGCAUUCAAAAAUUAAAAUGACCAAAAUAGCAUUUUAUCUUUUGAAAAUUUUAAUUUUUUUAUUUUUCAAAAUUUGAAAUCUUAUCCCCAAAACCUCAUUUCUCAACUCUGAACCCUAAACUCUAAACCCUAAACUCUAAACCCUAAACCCUAAACUCUAAACCCUAAACCCUAAACUCUAAACCCUAAACCCUAAACCCUAAAUCCCAAACCCUACCCUUUAACUCAAAACCUUAAGUUUGUGACUUUUGAUAAAACAUUAAAUGCUAUUUUUGUGACUUUUGACCUUGAAUACUAGUUUGGAAACAAAAACUUGAUUUAGUGCUAUUUUUGUCUUUUUCUCUAGUUUGUUUUCAUUAAUUUCUCAUCAAAAUCGUUAUAAAAUGAUUUUAUAUUUUAUCUAUUUUUGAAAAAAAUAUUGUUGAGUUAAUGAAAUAAACCAUUUCUGAUGAUUUUAUUACGAUAAUCUAGUAUAUUUAACUGAAAUUCUAUUUCUUAUCAAGUUUUAAAUUAUUUAUACCAUUUUUAAUAAAUUAUUUAGUAAAACUUGAUACAAUCAAAAUUUAGAUAUUUGUUAAAUUUAAAAAAAAAUCUCUAAAUUAAAUUAAGGGCAAAUCUCUAAAAUAGCACAUUUCUAAGUUUAUAUCACAAAAAUAGCACUCAAAAACUAAAAUGACCAAAAUAGCACCUUUCUAAGUUUAUCCUUUGAAAAUUUUAAUUUUUUUAUUUUUCAAAAUUUGAAAUCUUAUCCCCAAAACCUCAUUUCUCAACUCUAAACCCUAAACCCUAAACUCUAAACCCUAAACCCUAAACCAUAAACCCUAAACCCUAAACUCUAAACCCUAAACCCUAAAUUAUAAACCUCACCCUUUAACUCUAAACUCUAAACCCUAAAUUUAUGACUUUUGAUAAAACAUUAAGUGUUAUUUUUGUGACUUUUGACCUUAAGUGUUAGUUUGAAAACAAAAACUUGAUAUAGUGCUAUUUUUG